UACGUAGGUGGCGAGCGUUGUCCGGAUUUACUGGGCGUAAAGGGAGCGUAGGCGGACUUUUAAGUGAGAUGUGAAAUACUCGGGCUCAACUUGAGUGCUGCAUUUCAAACUGGAAGUCUAGAGUGCAGGAGAGGAGAAUGGAAUUCCUAGUGUAGCGGUGAAAUGCGUAGAGAUUAGGAAGAACACCAGUGGCGAAGGCGAUUCUCUGGACUGUAACUGACGCUGAGGCUCGAAAGCGUGGGAAGCAAACAGG
This 253-nucleotide ribosomal RNA is filed under the name uncultured bacterium. RNAcentral's name for it is "partial 16S ribosomal RNA". It matches the Rfam family "Bacterial small subunit ribosomal RNA", at positions 524 to 776 of the family's 1533-position model. The record is from RNAcentral.